AGUAAGGUCAGCUAAUCAAGCUACCGGGCCCAUACCCCGGAAAUGUUGGUUUAAAUCCCUCCCGUGCUA
Molecule: transfer RNA, 69 nt
Filed under: Grammomys surdaster
Lineage: Eukaryota; Metazoa; Chordata; Mammalia; Rodentia; Muridae
Description: tRNA-Met
Rfam family: tRNA
About the family: Transfer RNA (tRNA) molecules are approximately 80 nucleotides in length.
Source: RNAcentral